UACGUAGGGGGCAAGCGUUGUCCGGAUUUAUUGGGCGUAAAGAGCGUGUAGGCGGCCAGGUAGGUCCGUUGUGAAAACUCGAGGCUCAACCUCGAGACGUCGGCGGAAACCCUCUGGCUAGAGUCCGGAAGAGGAGAGUGGAAUUCCUGGUGUAGCGGUGAAAUGCGUAGAUAUCGUAAGGAAGACCAGUGGCGAAGGCGGGUCUCUGGACAGUUCCUGACGCUGAGGCACGAAGGUCAGGGGAGCAAACGGG
RNAcentral lists this ribosomal RNA (253 nucleotides) under uncultured bacterium. RNAcentral's name for it is "partial 16S ribosomal RNA". It matches the Rfam family "Bacterial small subunit ribosomal RNA", at positions 524 to 776 of the family's 1533-position model. The record is from RNAcentral.